This 142-nucleotide non-coding RNA is filed under the name bovine gut metagenome. RNAcentral's name for it is "glmS glucosamine-6-phosphate activated ribozyme". It matches the Rfam family "glmS glucosamine-6-phosphate activated ribozyme aptamer". Rfam says of the family: This entry contains a glucosamine-6-phosphate activated ribozyme that is found in the mRNA for GlmS. GlmS is an enzyme that uses fructose-6-phosphate and glutamine to generate glucosamine-6-phosphate. The record is from RNAcentral.
UUAUAAAGCGCCUGGACUAUUGUAAAAAUAGUUGACGAGGUCUAAGGUUAUCGAAAUAUUCGGCGGAUGCCUUAGUGGUAUAGACUUUUACCAUAGAUUUAAUAAAAAACAAAUGGCAACAUUUGAACAGAGGUUAAAUUAA